RNAcentral lists this ribosomal RNA (373 nucleotides) under uncultured organism. RNAcentral describes it as "bacterial SSU rRNA". It matches the Rfam family "Bacterial small subunit ribosomal RNA", at positions 526 to 896 of the family's 1533-position model. The record is from RNAcentral.
CGGAGGGUGCAAGCGUUAUCCGGAUUCACUGGGUUUAAAGGGUGCGUAGGAGGGCAGGUAAGUCCAGUGGUGAAAUCUCCGAGCUUUAACUUGGAAACUGCCGUUGAUACUAUCUGUCUUGAACUAUUGUUGGAGGUGAGCGGAAAUAUGUCAUGUAGCGGUGAAAUGCUUAGAUAUGACAUAGAACACAAUUGCGAAGGCAGCUCGCUACACAAAUAUUCGACUCUCGACGGCACGAAAGCGUGGGGAUCAAACAGGAUUAGAUACCUGGUAGUCCACGCCCUAAACGAUGGAUACUCGACAUACGCGAUACACAGUGUGUGUCUGAGCGAAAGCAUUAAGUAUCCCACCUGGGAAGUACGACGCAAGGUUG